This is a long non-coding RNA of Poecilia reticulata (guppy), 1372 nucleotides long. RefSeq lists it as uncharacterized. Lineage: Eukaryota; Metazoa; Chordata; Actinopteri; Cyprinodontiformes; Poeciliidae. The record is from RefSeq and is a predicted model, not a curated record.
UUUCUCCUUCUUCCCGAUGAGAUAGUUCUAUGCCCGUGCGCAUGCGCGAGAAAACCCCUGGUUGAGCGAUGGUGCUUUGACAUCUGAGAAGCUCGCAGGAGGAUCCCAUCACUGCCUGUUAAAUACAGUGGUGAUCAGGACCUCUCCUUAGGUCUGGAGACUCUAAGCUGGGAGUCUUGAGAUAACAUCCAAAAAUCAAGAUUGUCAACCCAAGCAAUGGUGGAGGUCGAAAGUCUGUGUCAUUGUCAUUUUGUGGAUUUAAAAACAAAGAAGUUUUGGACUCUAGAUUAUAACUAAACUAAAAGUUGAUGAAGGCAAAAACGUUUGACAUCACAUGGCAAAAAUGUCAUAAGAUAUAUUUUGCUGUGAUUUGAUGCUGUAGUCAUGUUUUAAAAGCUAAGUCAAUUGAAAAUAUUUCAUUACUCCCAAAAGGAAAUGAACCAACCCCAACAGAACCACACAGUAAAAUAAAAAAAGAUGUAAUAUCACAUGUACGGAAAUGAAAUAAAUUUGUAGGUGAGAUUUAAUCAUUUCUGGCUCACUGUCUCCCUAAUCAGUCAAAACAAUUAAUUAUAAGGAAAAAGAAACUGGUAUUAUUGCUAGGUGCAUGUUUUUUUUCACACUUAUAUCACAGAAGUAGGUUUGCGCAAAAUGGUGUUGGGGUGAACUAACCCAAAGAUAUUAGCAAUGACGAUAAUCACUGUAGGACAACAAGGACAGCAUCUCCAGAAGAAACUCUUGACAUUGAAACAUGAAUCCCCCUUUUACCCAGUUUGUUUUGCUCACAUAUAGUAUGUGACCUAAUUAAUAAUAUGUGUUGCGGAAUAAGUGAGAAAGUAUCAGGCUUGGUGUUUGCUAUAGCAUUUCUGACGCCUUAACAGUUGAGUUAUUAUUGCUGUAACGUCAAUGCAUUGUGCACAUACGGAGUAGUCGUAGUACUGAAUAAUGCUUAAGCUCAUCUGACCUGCAAGUGGAGGCAGUCACAGUUCACUGACAUUUAUAGGAGAAGUGACGCAAACAGAACAUGUCGUUCUAGUCCACCACAUAGUUGCCGCCCGUCUGACUCCUCCUCAACAAAAGGAGGCUUUUUAAAAAUGCUACCUGGGAGGCAUUUUGCUGCCGGUGUUUGGUCAGCACAAAGAAAAGCAGGCAACAAUCUCAUAACAGGGUAAUCUUUUUAUUCAACAUUAGUACCAAAAACCUUAAAAUGCCUGUGAGACUACCUCUGCUGCACAUUCAGAGGGUACAACACAGUUGUCCCAGAAUUCAUCUCCAAGCCCUGAUAAAGAUAACAGUGAGGAUUUUCAAAGGUCCAACACUUAGGUCUAUAAUAGUAUGUGGAAAAUCAAAUGGUCACGAUUAUUAAGUUCUG